CCGCGCGCUAAAAGCAGUGUUUAUACUGCGCCUCGCUUAUAAAGCAGAACCUCCCCCUCUCCUAGUCUCGUCUCCCACAAGCCGCAAACCCAUCUUCCCCUAGCCCAAGCAAACCGCACACGCCACCAUGUUCCUCACGAGGACGGAGUACGACCGCGGCGUGAACACCUUUUCGCCGGAGGGACGCCUAUUCCAGGUCGAGUACGCCAUCGAGGCCAUCAAGGU
RNAcentral lists this ribosomal RNA (225 nucleotides) under Triticum aestivum (bread wheat). Its description in RNAcentral is "partial small subunit ribosomal RNA". The record is from RNAcentral. Lineage: Eukaryota; Viridiplantae; Streptophyta; Magnoliopsida; Poales; Poaceae.